This 462-nucleotide ribosomal RNA is filed under the name uncultured Enterobacteriaceae bacterium. RNAcentral describes it as "bacterial SSU rRNA". It matches the Rfam family "Bacterial small subunit ribosomal RNA", at positions 920 to 1382 of the family's 1533-position model. The record is from RNAcentral. Lineage: Bacteria; Pseudomonadati; Pseudomonadota; Gammaproteobacteria; Enterobacterales; Enterobacteriaceae.
CCCGCACAAGCGGUGGAGCAUGUGGUUUAAUUCGAAGCAACGCGAAGAACCUUUACCUGGUCUUGACAUCCACGGAAGUUUUCAGAGAUGAGAAUGUGCCUUCGGGAACCGUGAGACAGGUGCUGCAUGGCUGUCGUCAGCUCGUGUUGUGAAAUGUUGGGUUAAGUCCCGCAACGAGCGCAACCCUUAUCCUUUGUUGCCAGCGGUCCGGCCGGGAACUCAAAGGAGACUGCCAGUGAUAAACUGGAGGAAGGUGGGAUGACGUCAAGUCAUCAUGGCCCUUACGACCAGGGCUACACACGUGCUACAAUGGCGCAUACAAAGAGAAGCGACCUCGCGAGAGCAAGCGGACCUCAUAAAGUGCGUCGUAGUCCGGAUUGGAGUCUGCAACUCGACUCCAUGAAGUCGGAAUCGCUAGUAAUCGUGGAUCAGAAUGCCACGGUGAAUACGUUCCCGGGCCUU